This 253-nucleotide ribosomal RNA is filed under the name uncultured bacterium. RNAcentral's name for it is "partial 16S ribosomal RNA". It matches the Rfam family "Bacterial small subunit ribosomal RNA", at positions 524 to 776 of the family's 1533-position model. The record is from RNAcentral.
CACGUAGGGCGCAAGCGUUGUCCGGAAUCAUUGGGCGUAAAGCGCGUGUAGGCGGCUCGGUAAGUCUGCUGUUAAAGUCCAGGGCUCAACCCUGGGAUGCCGGUGGAUACUGUCGAGCUCGAGUCCGGAAGAGGAGUGUGGAAUUCCUGGUGUAGCGGUGAAAUGCGCAGAUAUCAGGAGGAACACCAAUGGCGAAGGCAGCACUCUGGGACGUGACUGACGCUGAGACGCGAAAGCGUGGGGAGCAAACAGG